CAGCCGCCGCGGGAAUACGGAGGGUGCGAGCGUUAAUCGGAUUUACUGGGCGUAAAGCGUGCGUAGGCGGCUUCUUAAGUCGGAUGUGAAAUCCCUGAGCUUAACUUAGGAAUUGCAUUCGAUACUGGGAAGCUAGAGUAUGGGAGAGGAUGGUAGAAUUCCAGGUGUAGCGGUGAAAUGCGUAGAGAUCUGGAGGAAUACCGAUGGCGAAGGCAGCCAUCUGGCCUAAUACUGACGCUGAGGUACGAAAGCAUGGGGAGCAAACAGGAUUAGAUACCCGAGUAGUCCCUGUCUCUUAUAC
This 301-nucleotide ribosomal RNA is filed under the name uncultured bacterium. RNAcentral's name for it is "partial 16S ribosomal RNA". It matches the Rfam family "Bacterial small subunit ribosomal RNA", at positions 509 to 807 of the family's 1533-position model. The record is from RNAcentral.